GGCGCUAUGGUGUAGUGGUAUGCACAUGGCUCUCAUUUGGACUUCCGCCACAGCCCAGGUUCGAUUCCUGGUGGUGCCC
Coniophora puteana RWD-64-598 SS2 is the source of this 79-nucleotide transfer RNA. It matches the Rfam family "tRNA". Rfam says of the family: Transfer RNA (tRNA) molecules are approximately 80 nucleotides in length. The record is from Rfam. Lineage: Eukaryota; Fungi; Basidiomycota; Agaricomycetes; Boletales; Coniophoraceae.